Molecule: unclassified non-coding RNA, 224 nt
Filed under: uncultured fungus
Lineage: Eukaryota; Fungi
Description: sequence contains ITS1, 5.8S rRNA gene
Rfam family: 5.8S ribosomal RNA (bases 176-224)
Source: RNAcentral
UCUCCGUAGGUGAACCUGCGGAGGGAUCAUUACUGAGUUUAUCUAACUCCCAAACCAUUGUGAACUUACCACUGUUGCCUCGGCGGCAGUCCUCUGUAACAGGAGGCGGCCGCCGGUGGACUACUAAACUCUUGUUAAUUUUUGUCAAUUCUGAAUUAAAAACUUAAUAAGUUAAAACUUUCAACAACGGAUCUCUUGGUUCUGGCAUCGAUGAAGAACGCAGC